UUAAAAUUUAAUUAAAAAUAAUUGAUUAGUAUUAGUUAUAGUCUUGAAAAUUAAUAAAUUUGGCGGUAUUUUAUUCUAUUUAGAGGAAUUUGUUUUAUAAUUGAUAAUACACAUUUAAUCUUACUUAAUUUAUUAAAAUUUGUAUAUCGUCGUCAUAAGAAUAUCUUAAAAAAGUUUAUUAAUAUUCUAACAUUUUAUUUAAAAAUUAUGUCAGAUCAAGGUGCAGUUUAUAAUUAAGAAAAAAUGAAUUACAAUAAAAUUAUUUAUAAUGAAUAAUAAAUUUAAAUAUUUAUUUGAAGGUGGAUUUAAUAGUAAAAUAAUCUAUAAAAAUUAUUUGAAUUUAGUUUUAAAAUAUGC
Molecule: ribosomal RNA, 357 nt
Filed under: Sciara hemerobioides
Lineage: Eukaryota; Metazoa; Arthropoda; Insecta; Diptera; Sciaridae
Description: partial 12S ribosomal RNA
Source: RNAcentral